GUGGAUUAGGCAUGCAAGUCGAGCGAGAAGUUUACUUCGGUAAAUGGACAGCGGCGAAAGGGACAGUAAUGUGUAGGUACCUACCCCCAGAUCUGGGAUAGCUGCGGGAAACUGCAGGUAAUACCGGAUAAUGUCUUCGGACCAAAGGUGUGAUUCCGUCAGGGGAGGGGCCUGCAUCCUAUUAGCUUGUUGGUGAGGUAAUGGCUCACCAAGGCAACGAUGGGUAGCGGGUGUGAGAGCAUGACCCGCGUCAUUGGGACUGAGACACUGCCCAGACAUCUACGGAUGGCUGCAGUCGAGAAUCUUCGGCAAUGGGCGAAAGCCUGACCGAGCGACGCCGCGUGCGGGAUGAAGGCCCUCGGGUUGUAAACCGCUGUCGUUGGGGAGGAAAUGCAAAAGGGUUAUCCCUUCUGUUU
RNAcentral lists this ribosomal RNA (416 nucleotides) under uncultured Planctomycetales bacterium. RNAcentral's name for it is "bacterial SSU rRNA". It matches the Rfam family "Bacterial small subunit ribosomal RNA", at positions 44 to 470 of the family's 1533-position model. The record is from RNAcentral. Lineage: Bacteria; Pseudomonadati; Planctomycetota; Planctomycetia; Planctomycetales.